CAAUAGCGUAUAUUGAAGUUGUUGCGGUUAAAAAGCUCGUCGUUGGAUUUCUGUUGAGGUCGAACAGUGCCGCCCUAUGGGUGCGCAACUGGCUCGGCUUCGGCAUCUUCUUGGAGAGCGCAUCUGCACUUAACUGUGUGGAUCGUACUUCAAGUCGGUUACUUUGAGGAAUUGUGGGUGUUUCAAGCAGGCUUACGCCGUUGAAUCCGUUAGCAUGGAAUAAUAGGAUAGGACCUCGGUUCUAUUUUGUUGGUUUUGAGAGCUGGGGCAGCGAUUGAUAGGGACGGAUGGGGGCGUCCGAACUUUACUGUCAGAGGUGAAAUUCUUAGAUCGGUCAAAGGCGAACUACUGCGAACGCAUUCGCCAAGAAUGUUUUCUUUA
RNAcentral lists this ribosomal RNA (381 nucleotides) under uncultured eukaryote. RNAcentral's name for it is "partial 18S ribosomal RNA". It matches the Rfam family "Eukaryotic small subunit ribosomal RNA", at positions 592 to 975 of the family's 1831-position model. The record is from RNAcentral.